GACAGAGGAGGCAAGCGUUGUUCGGAAUCACUGGGCUUAAAGCGCGUGUAGGCGGUCCGGAAAGUGUCGCGUGAAAUCCCACGGCUCAACCGUGGAACGGCGCGGCAAACUCCCGGACUUGAGGUUGGUAGAGGUGCCUGGAACUCUAGGUGGAGCGGUGAAAUGCGUAGAUAUCUAGAGGAACGCCAGAGGCGAAAGCGGGGCACUGGGCCAAAUCUGACGCUGAGACGCGAAAGCGUGGGGAG
RNAcentral lists this ribosomal RNA (245 nucleotides) under uncultured bacterium. Its description in RNAcentral is "partial 16S ribosomal RNA". It matches the Rfam family "Bacterial small subunit ribosomal RNA", at positions 524 to 768 of the family's 1533-position model. The record is from RNAcentral.